This 465-nucleotide ribosomal RNA is filed under the name uncultured bacterium. RNAcentral's name for it is "partial 16S ribosomal RNA". It matches the Rfam family "Bacterial small subunit ribosomal RNA", at positions 28 to 507 of the family's 1533-position model. The record is from RNAcentral.
GACGAACGCUGGCGGCGUGCUUAACACAUGCAAGUCGUACGGUAAGGCCCUUUCGGGGGUACACGAGUGGCGAACGGGUGAGUAACACGUGAGUAACCUGCCCACAACUUUGGGAUAACGCUAGGAAACUGGUGCUAAUACUGGAUAUGUUCUCCUGCUGCAUGGUGGGGGUUGGAAAGCUCCGGCGGUUGUGGAUGGACUCGCGGCCUAUCAGCUUGUUGGUGGGGUAGUGGCCUACCAAGGCGGCGACGGGUAGCCGGCCUGAGAGGGUGACCGGCCACAUUGGGACUGAGAUACGGCCCAGACUCCGACGGGAGGCAGCAGUGGGGAAUAUUGCACAAUGGGCGCAAGCCUGAUGCAGCAACGCCGCGGGCGGGAUGACGGCCUUCGGGUUGUAAACCGCUUUCAGCAGGGACGAAGCUUUUUGUGACGGUACCUGCAGAAGAAGCACCGGCUAACUACGUG